GACGAACGCUGGCGGCGUGCUUAACACAUGCAAGUCGAGCGGUAAGGCCCUUUCGGGGGUACGACGAGCGGCGAACGGGUGAGUAACACGUGGGUGACCUGCCCUCAGCUCUGGGAUAAGCCUGGGAAACCGGGUCUAAUACUGGAUAUGACUCCAUGACGCAUGUUGGUGGGGUGGAAAGCCUUGUGCGGCUGAGGAUGGGCCCGCGGCCUAUCAGCUUGUUGGUGGGGUGANGGCCUACCAAGGCGACGACGGGUAGCCGGCCUGAGAGGGCGACCGGCCACAC
RNAcentral lists this ribosomal RNA (286 nucleotides) under uncultured bacterium. RNAcentral describes it as "partial 16S ribosomal RNA". It matches the Rfam family "Bacterial small subunit ribosomal RNA", at positions 28 to 313 of the family's 1533-position model. The record is from RNAcentral.